Long non-coding RNA from Vigna radiata var. radiata (mung bean), 1143 nucleotides. RefSeq lists it as uncharacterized. Lineage: Eukaryota; Viridiplantae; Streptophyta; Magnoliopsida; Fabales; Fabaceae. The record is from RefSeq and is a predicted model, not a curated record. The transcript is spliced from 2 exons.
CCAGGGGAUCAAUUUUAGACACACUUCCUAAUCCUUUUUUGUGGUGAAAUAAAAGAAAGUCAAAAUGUUGGCUGGAUUAGUGAAGAAGAUCGCCUCCACCAUAAUGGGGAGUUGUGCCUCAAAUCCAAAUAGAAAAGCCAAUGGUCACAAGAGAAGAAAACACAAGUCCGGCAAGCGUAGAGGAAAUAUACCCACAUCACUUCCUGAGAUGCCUUUGAAAAGGGUAAGCAAUGCUGGAAGCCUUGUGGGAGAUUUCGAUCUUAGUGACUUUGUUAACCUGGACUUUGAGAAUGGUGCUUCAGCCCCCUGCAGAAGAUAUGAGGUUUCAAAUAUGAAGUUUCAUUUAACACAACUUCAAUACCANAGUCAAAUUGAUGCAAAUGGACAUUGCAAGUGAUGGUUGCUUCAGCCUUGGUAUGUUGGCCCGUAUGGAACCUACUUUGCGAGGAAAGAAUGUCUGGAUGUAUCCACAAUUAUUUUGGUUUUUUCUAUUUUAUAAUUUCGUUUAGACCCUAAUAAUUGUUUAAACCUUAAAACUAUUUGUAUAGCUACUUUAAUCCUUUUCAAUUGAGUUAGUUUGUUGUCUUGUUCAUUACCUUGUUCAAAGUCGUAUGUUUGUAAAUAUAUUGUGUUGUAGAAAUAUGUUAUCAAACAUGCAGCCCACCAGCCAUUGGUUCUUGGUCAACUAUUGCAGUAGCUUUAAUUCUUGCAUUUUUCAGCUAGAUUGAGGUUCACGUGAAUUCAUCAUAUUGAUUAGAAGUUGGUGGACCAACUUUAGGUAUUAGAAAUUGGUAGAUUUUAGAGUCUGGUGCAGCAACUUGUUUCUGGAAGGAGGUUGGACGUUGAACCAAUUUUUGGCUUGCAGGUUUUUGGUACAGUUUUAGCACUAUUAGAGCAACCAAAGGUCUUAAAUGUAACUGCAAAAGUGCUUCAUGAUGUCGCUUGAACUUGGAUAGUCUUUAUUAUUAGUUCUCAUUUACAUUUGCUCAGUUGUUUUCUUAUGUAGAAGUAGAAUUUAAAGGUUUUUUCUCUGUAUUGAGGUGUAAGAACUUGUAGUGUUGUAGUGCUGUGACAGCAAGUAUAUCUUAUGUAAAAGACUACAAACAUAUUAUGCAAUAUUAUUUGAUUACAUCUCCUUUUCAA